ACCUCAUAGGUUCUCCUCUUACCUCAUAGGUUCUCCUCUUACCUCAUAGGUUCUUCUCUUACCUCAUAGGUUCUUCUCUUACCUCAUAGGUUCUCCUCUUACCUCAUAGGUUCUCCUCUUACCUCAUAGGUUCUCCUCUUACCUCAUAGGUUCUUCUCUUACCUCAUAGGUUCUCCUCUUACCCUAUAGGUUCUCCUCUUACCCUAUAGGUUCUCCUCUUACCCUAUAGGUUCUUCUCUUACCUCAUAGGUUCUCCUCUUACCCUAUAGAUCCUAUAGGUUCUCCUCUUACCCUAUAGGUCCUAUAGGUUCUCCUCUUACCCUAUAGAUCCUAUAGGUUCUCCUCUUACCCUAUAGAUCCUAUAGGUUCUCCUCUUACCCUAUAGGUCCUAUAGGUUCUCCUCUUACCCUAUAGAUCCUAUAGGUUCUCCUCUUACCCUAUAGGUCCUAUAGGUUCUCCUCUUACCCUAUAGGUUCUCCUCUUACCCUAUAGGUCCUAUAGGUUCUCCUCUUACCCUAUAGAUCCUAUAGGUUCUCCUCUUACCCUAUAGAUCCUAUAGGUUCUCCUCUUACCCUAUAGGUGACCUGACUAUAGACUGUUGUUCACUCUGUUUCUCCUAUUCACUGACUGUAUAAGAGUUCUGUUUGGCAGUAGCAUUGUUACUAUCAUAGCAUUUGCGUUAU
Molecule: long non-coding RNA, 683 nt
Organism: Oncorhynchus tshawytscha (Chinook salmon)
Lineage: Eukaryota; Metazoa; Chordata; Actinopteri; Salmoniformes; Salmonidae
Exons: 3
Source: RefSeq, a predicted model, not a curated record